UUCUGCAUAGUCGGUCAGUAAUAUCCUUAUCGAAAGAUUUUGUAGGACAGUGAUUGCUGUAAAUACCUUCAUGUACCUUUCAAAAAUAUAUUCGGCCUUGGAAGGUCGGAGAUACUUGAGCAGGGAUAGAGACACCGACCUUCUAUAGAGUUGAUUGUCAAUGAUCACGUACCGAGUUGCCAACUUUUUUAAUCAGUGUGCCUCAGCAG
This 209-nucleotide long non-coding RNA is filed under the name Elaeis guineensis (African oil palm). Its description in RNAcentral is "long non-coding RNA (EGUI_LNC019517)". The record is from RNAcentral. Lineage: Eukaryota; Viridiplantae; Streptophyta; Magnoliopsida; Arecales; Arecaceae.